GCAAGUCGAACGAGAAAGCUCCCUUCGGGGAGUGAGUAAAGUGGCAGACGGGUGAGUAACACGUGGGUAACCUACCCCGAGGUGGGGGAUAACUCUCCGAAAGGAGGGCUAAUACCGCAUAACAUCCCGAGACCGAUGGGUCAUGGGAUCAAAGCAGGCCUCUUCUUGAAAGCUUGCGCCAUGGGAUGGGCCCGCGCCCCAUUAGCUUGUUGGUGAGGUAACGGCUCACCAAGGCCGCGAUGGGUAGCCGGCCUGAGAGGGCGAUC
Molecule: ribosomal RNA, 266 nt
Filed under: uncultured bacterium
Lineage: Bacteria
Description: partial 16S ribosomal RNA
Rfam family: Bacterial small subunit ribosomal RNA
Source: RNAcentral